GCAGACACAUUCCAGCCAAUCAGCAGCAGACCCUCCCUCCCAGACCCUCCCACCUCCUGGACAGCAUCCAUUGUGAAGCUGCAUUCUUAGUGAGCUGUCCAGGAGGUGGGAGGGUCUUGGAGUGAGGGUCUGCUGCUGAUUGGCUGGAAUGUGUCUG
Molecule: non-coding RNA, 157 nt
Organism: Pelobates cultripes (western spadefoot toad)
Lineage: Eukaryota; Metazoa; Chordata; Amphibia; Anura; Pelobatidae
Source: the annotation of a GenBank genome assembly